Long non-coding RNA from Nasonia vitripennis (jewel wasp), 544 nucleotides. RefSeq lists it as uncharacterized. The transcript has 2 exons. NCBI's taxonomy places the organism in Eukaryota, Metazoa, Arthropoda, Insecta, Hymenoptera, Pteromalidae. The record is from RefSeq and is a predicted model, not a curated record.
GAGGGAGAUAAUAUUUCGAACUCUCCGCGACAUAAUACUUUCGAAACAUUUAGAUAAGCGAGAGCUUUUUCUCGGGACAUAUAACCGAUUUUUUUAUUCUUCUUCUCCCUUUCGUCGCGCGAGACAUUACAUAUAUAUAUAUUGUAUUUUUCUUUGCGUCGAGCCGCCGCCUCGAAAUUUCGAUAAAGCAAGUGUGUGCGCCAUAUUUAUAAAUAUAUACUGUGAAUCGAUACACAGAGCGUCGGGUUAUCAGUGAAACACCAGUCGCACUUGCGCUUUCUCGCGAGUCUGUGCAAACAGUUUCGGCCUUUUAUAUCCGUGAAAGCCGCGAUCGGGAAGCGAAGGAAAAAGGAAUAUAAAAAAAGUACUCACGGUGUGUAUACGCGUGUAAGAAGAAUCCCUGGCUAUUGAAGCUGACGCUUCCGAAGUUCCGAGCAGCCACGGCCGAACAGGUUCUCCGCGGGCCAGCUAUUCAUCCUGUGCUAUCACAGAAGCAUCGUCGUGAUCAUCAGCAGCAGCAGCGGUGUCAUACCGAUCUCCUGUG